This 468-nucleotide ribosomal RNA is filed under the name uncultured bacterium. RNAcentral describes it as "partial 16S ribosomal RNA". It matches the Rfam family "Bacterial small subunit ribosomal RNA", at positions 28 to 507 of the family's 1533-position model. The record is from RNAcentral.
GAUGAACGCUGGCGGCGUGCUUAACACAUGCAAGUCGAACGGAAAGGCCAGUGCUUGCACUGGUACUCGAGUGGCGAACGGGUGAGUAACACGUGGGUGAUCUGCCCUGCACUUCGGGAUAAGCCUGGGAAACUGGGUCUAAUACCGGAUAGGACAAUGGUUUGGAUGCCGUUGUGGAAAGUUUUUUCGGUGUGGGAUGAGCUCGCGGCCUAUCAGCUUGUUGGUGGGGUAAUGGCCUACCAAGGCGUCGACGGGUAGCCGGCCUGAGAGGGUGUACGGCCACAUUGGGACUGAGAUACGGCCCAGACUCCUACGGGAGGCAGCAGUGGGGAAUAUUGCACAAUGGGCGCAAGCCUGAUGCAGCGACGCCGCGUGGGGGAUGACGGCCUUCGGGUUGCAAACUCCUUUCGCUAGGGACGAAGCGUAUUUGUGACGGUACCUGGAGAAGAAGCACCGGCUAACUACGUG